This 679-nucleotide ribosomal RNA is filed under the name Photobacterium angustum S14. RNAcentral's name for it is "bacterial SSU rRNA". It matches the Rfam family "Bacterial small subunit ribosomal RNA", at positions 860 to 1533 of the family's 1533-position model. Lineage: Bacteria; Pseudomonadati; Pseudomonadota; Gammaproteobacteria; Vibrionales; Vibrionaceae. The record is from RNAcentral.
GUUAGUAGACCGCCUGGGGAGUACGGUCGCAAGAUUAAAACUCAAAUGAAUUGACGGGGGCCCGCACAAGCGGUGGAGCAUGUGGUUUAAUUCGAUGCAACGCGAAGAACCUUACCUACUCUUGACAUCCAGAGAACUUUCCAGAGAUGGAUUGGUGCCUUCGGGAACUCUGAGACAGGUGCUGCAUGGCUGUCGUCAGCUCGUGUUGUGAAAUGUUGGGUUAAGUCCCGCAACGAGCGCAACCCUUAUCCUUGUUUGCCAGCACGUAAUGGUGGGAACUCCAGGGAGACUGCCGGUGAUAAACCGGAGGAAGGUGGGGACGACGUCAAGUCAUCAUGGCCCUUACGAGUAGGGCUACACACGUGCUACAAUGGCGUAUACAGAGGGCUGCCAACUAGCGAUAGUGAGCGAAUCCCAGAAAGUACGUCGUAGUCCGGAUUGGAGUCUGCAACUCGACUCCAUGAAGUCGGAAUCGCUAGUAAUCGUGAAUCAGAAUGUCACGGUGAAUACGUUCCCGGGCCUUGUACACACCGCCCGUCACACCAUGGGAGUGGGCUGCACCAGAAGUAGAUAGCUUAACCUUCGGGAGGGCGUUUACCACGGUGUGGUUCAUGACUGGGGUGAAGUCGUAACAAGGUAGCCCUAGGGGAACCUGGGGCUGGAUCACCUCCUUACCUAA